RNAcentral lists this ribosomal RNA (274 nucleotides) under uncultured bacterium. RNAcentral's name for it is "partial 16S ribosomal RNA". It matches the Rfam family "Bacterial small subunit ribosomal RNA", at positions 523 to 796 of the family's 1533-position model. The record is from RNAcentral.
AUACAGAGGGUGCAAGCGUUAAUCUGAAUUACUGGGCGUAAAGCGCGCGUAGGCGGUUUAAUCAGUCGGAUGUGAAAGCCCCGGGCUCAACCUGGGAACUGCAUUCGAUACUGUUAAGCUAGAGUAUGGUAGAGGGAAGUGGAAUUCCAGGUGUAGCGGUGAAAUGCGUAGAUAUCUGGAGGAACAUCAGUGGCGAAGGCGACUUCCUGGACCAAUACUGACGCUGAGGUGCGAAAGCGUGGGGAGCAAACAGGAUUAGAAACCCUUGUAGUCC